GGAGAGAUGCGAGAGCGGCUGAAUCGGGCGGUCUCGAAAACCGUUAAACCCUUAUGGGUUUCGAGGGUUCGAAUCCCUCUCUCUCCGCAA
Molecule: transfer RNA, 90 nt
Filed under: Spirochaetae bacterium HGW-Spirochaetae-9
Lineage: Bacteria; Pseudomonadati; Spirochaetota
Description: tRNA-Ser
Rfam family: tRNA
About the family: Transfer RNA (tRNA) molecules are approximately 80 nucleotides in length. Their secondary structure includes four short double-helical elements and three loops (D, anti-codon, and T loops).
Source: RNAcentral